This 253-nucleotide ribosomal RNA is filed under the name uncultured bacterium. RNAcentral describes it as "partial 16S ribosomal RNA". It matches the Rfam family "Bacterial small subunit ribosomal RNA", at positions 524 to 776 of the family's 1533-position model. The record is from RNAcentral.
GACAGAGGUGCCGAGCGUUAGGCGGAAUCACUGGGCUUAAAGCGUGUGUAGGCGGGUCGGUAAGUGUCUUGUGAAAUCCCACCGCUCAACGGUGGAACUGCUGGGCAUACUGGCGAUCUUGAGCCACCUAGGGGCAGACGGAACAAGCGGUGGAGCGGUGAAGUGCGUAGAUAUCGCUUGGAACGCCGACGGUGAAAACAGUCUGCUGGGGGUGUGCUGACGCUGAGACACGAAAGCCAGGGGAGCGAACGGG